This 435-nucleotide ribosomal RNA is filed under the name Fusarium sp. 220499/15. Its description in RNAcentral is "SSU rRNA". It matches the Rfam family "Eukaryotic small subunit ribosomal RNA", at positions 562 to 1002 of the family's 1831-position model. The record is from RNAcentral. Lineage: Eukaryota; Fungi; Ascomycota; Sordariomycetes; Hypocreales; Nectriaceae.
UGGUGCCAGCAGCCGCGGUAAUUCCAGCUCCAAUAGCGUAUAUUAAAGUUGUUGUGGUUAAAAAGCUCGUAGUUGAACCUUGGGCCUGGCUGGCCGGUCCGCCUCACCGCGUGUACUGGUCCGGCCGGGCCUUUCCCUCUGUGGAACCCCAUGCCCUUCACUGGGUGUGGCGGGGAAACAGGACUUUUACUGUGAAAAAAUUAGAGUGCUCCAGGCAGGCCUAUGCUCGAAUACAUUAGCAUGGAAUAAUAGAAUAGGACGUGUGGUUCUAUUUUGUUGGUUUCUAGGACCGCCGUAAUGAUUAAUAGGGACAGUCGGGGGCAUCAGUAUUCAAUUGUCAGAGGUGAAAUUCUUGGAUUUAUUGAAGACUAACUACUGCGAAAGCAUUUGCCAAGGAUGUUUUCAUUAAUCAGGAACGAAAGUUAGGGGAUCGAA